AUGCCAGGGCUGCUGCCUGGGUGGUAGCCAUUCAUGCUGGCUUGUGUGCACUUGGAGUGCAGGGACUAGUUAAUGGGGAAAUUACAGAUGACUCUGCAUGGUGGCUUCUCUGAUUUACAUUUGUGGUAAAACCCAAGACAACUGAUCUGUAACUCUGACUUGAACUGGGCCCUUACAUGGAAAUUUUUCCAGCCUGUGGCAGUACCUAAAAGGCUUUCUGGGAAGAGUUCAAGAGCCUCCUCUUCCUAUGGUAGCCCUUGCCAGGGUAUUUUAACUUCCUUUAUUAUAUCAAUCAUGAGUGUCCUGAAUACCCUUCCCAUGUCACCAAAGCCAUGUUCACUAGAGUCACAUGCUGGUGAUGGGUUUAAAAAAAAAAAAAUUCUCAGGCAAUGCAAAAUGAUCAAUUCAGGGUACUGAAAGUUAGAACCAAAUAUCUGAAUCUGAAUAUCUGAAUCAAAGUUUUAAAAGUUAAGGCACACAAAAGUCCUUUGAAUUUCAGUAAUGACCAAAGCAUACUAAACUGAUCAACACAGGAAAAACAAAAAAGAAUGAAGGGAUAAAGGACUGAUAACGGGACAAAGGAAUGGAUGUACCAAGUUCUGACAAACACUGGAAUCACAUUUCAAAUCCAGGGCUGUCCAAUGCAAUUCAUACUCACGCUAAAAGUAAGUCAUGGAUCUCAGUCUACCUUCCCUGCACUGUUUUCCCUCAUGGCAAUGAGAAAAUGCUUUUCCUCUCACAUUAGAGAGAUUCGUUUCAUACUCCUAGUUAAAAAAAAAAAAAAUUAAGGUAAAUUAUGAGCCAACGAGUCACUACAUGUUCAAAUGCAUUUGCCGAAUUAGGAACUCAACAUCUUCACUCCCUUUAAUUGCUUUGAGGCAGUGAACUACAAACAGCCUUGGUUAAAGCAAGAACUACAAGCACAUACACAUACUCACCAAAUUCUUGGUCAUAAUGAAAUUCUUAAGUUCAAACUAAUCAAAAGAGGAAGGAAGAACUACCAUCUGUCUCCCCACCAUAUUAGCCUGUUAGGUUCAUAUAUUUCAGACUGGUUAAAAAAGGCUUCACCAAAUGUAGCACCAAUGAAAGUUCAACUGCUGAAAUAGCUGUUGAUUUUGGUAACUAACUAAAAGUCAGGUAAUAAAGGAUACAAAUGCCUUCUGAUGAUUGUUUAGUCUCACUCCCCCUGAUUUAAGCCCCUGAAAAGUGUCACCCUUUUGAUGUGAAGCAAAUAUAGCAUUUUCCCCUAUAGGAAAUACUGUGCCUCAAUCAAAAUGCACUGCAUACUGUGCUUCAUCUAUCUCAGGACAUUUAGGAAAACUGGACAACCACAAAAAAAGUAAAGGGCAGGUUCUAGCCCAUGAGAUAUAAGACCAGUAAUGAUCCUGACAUGAUAAAAAGUAAUCAUUUCAUAGACAUUGGUAAAGCUGCCUGGAAACAUCAGUGAUUCUAUCCCUUCAAGUAUUAUUAGAAACAGAGACUCAGGAGAUAUAAUAAACACUUAAAGCCAUCUUGUCAUUGGCAAGUGAUGCCAACAAUGUUACCAUAACUGAAUCGCUUCUUAGAAUCUACAAGUGACCCUUACGUAUUUUAUUCUUGAUACUUCUGAUGAAAACUGGCCUUUUAUGAAAGAACGGACUGUAAGAUAGUUUAGAUUUACUGCUAUAUACAAGGUCUCAGAUGUUAAAUUUAAGAUGUGAAGUGUUAUGUGCAUAUUUUUAAAAAUUUUAAGAAUACACUGAGAUAAGAAAAUUCAAAUAUAUAUGAACAAUAUUAAAGUCUUUUGAUGAUUUCUUUCACUCUUCCUGUUUAAGUAAGUAAAAUAUUUCAAUUUCCAUGAGCACAACUGAUAAUAUAACAUGGGUUUUCCAGGUGUUCAAUCCCCUUAUCUGCUUUACAAGCUGCUUUGCCAAAAAGGCAAAGUUUCCUGAAGGAAUCCCAUCUUUGUUAGUUCCUUAGACUUUGUUAAGCCUUGCCUACCCUACAGUUCCCAAUAAAUUAUAUCCUUCUUCACACUAUAGGGUUUAUUUUGUGGGUUGGGAGUGGCUUUCUUAUUUUUCUUCUAAUGAAAAAAUUAAGGAAACUGGAAGAAAGUAUGGAUGUUAGUUAAUAAUAAUGCAUCCAUGCCUGUUCAUUCAUUGUAAUGCAAUUAAUGUGCCAUGCUAAUGU
This 2169-nucleotide long non-coding RNA is filed under the name Sus scrofa (pig). Its description in RNAcentral is "lncRNA (ENSSSCG00050052055.1)". The record is from RNAcentral. Lineage: Eukaryota; Metazoa; Chordata; Mammalia; Artiodactyla; Suidae.